GGGGGUGUAAGGUUUCGACGGAUUUUUUGAUAUAUUAAUAGCGAGUAGUGGAUGGUUGCUUUGGCCACUAUAAAAAAGCAAAAUUAAAAUUAAACGCUGAUAGAGAAGAAUUAGCAUUUGCUGCUUAGUUUAUAGCAGCUUGUCUUAUUUAUUUUUGCUAGAGGAAUAAAUAAGGCAUCAUAUUAUCUAGCAAACAAAUUUAACUGAUAACUUUAGGUUAAAGGGUAUUUUAAAGUUAUAUUAAUCAAUUUUUUGUAAAUGUUUUAUUUGAUUAAUAUUAUUUGUAACAUUUACUGCACUCGGAGAAUUUAAUAUUGAUGAAUUUUCGGACGCGAGUUCAAUUCUCGCCACCUCCACCA
Molecule: transfer-messenger RNA, 359 nt
Filed under: pig gut metagenome
Rfam family: transfer-messenger RNA
About the family: Bacterial tmRNA, also known as 10Sa RNA or SsrA, is named for its dual tRNA and mRNA-like properties. Its role is to liberate the mRNA from a stalled ribosome.
Source: RNAcentral